Molecule: unclassified non-coding RNA, 345 nt
Filed under: soil metagenome
Description: partial contains 5.8S ribosomal RNA, internal transcribed spacer 2, and large subunit ribosomal RNA
Rfam family: 5.8S ribosomal RNA (bases 1-120)
Source: RNAcentral
GAUGAAGAACGCAGCGAAAUGCGAUACGUAAUGUGAAUUGCAGAAUUCAGUGAAUCAUCGAGUCUUUGAACGCACAUUGCGCCCCCUGGUAUUCCGGGGGGCAUGCCUGUCCGAGCGUCAUUGCUGCCCUCAAGCACGGCUUGUGUGUUGGGCCUCCGUCCUCCUCCCGGGGGACGGGGCCGAAAGGCAGCGGCGGCACCGCGUCCGGUCCUCGAGCGUAUGGGGCUUCGUCACCCGCUCUUGUAGGCCCGGCCGGCGCUUGCCGACACAUCAAUCUUUUUUCCAGGUUGACCUCGGAUCAGGUAGGGAUACCCGCUGAACUUAAGCAUAUCAAUAAGCGUAGGA